Long non-coding RNA from Myotis myotis, 3427 nucleotides. RefSeq lists it as uncharacterized. The record is from RefSeq and is a predicted model, not a curated record. The transcript has 3 exons. NCBI's taxonomy places the organism in Eukaryota, Metazoa, Chordata, Mammalia, Chiroptera, Vespertilionidae.
ACUCCAUCCAUGCUUUUGUUCCGGCCCUCGGGUCCAGUUUAAGACCCAUUGUGGCCCUCGAGUCAAAAAGUUUGCCCACCCCUGGACUAGGCUGUACUCCGGGUUCUGGGACUCAUUCCCAGUAGCCAACAUUUUCCUUUCAAACAGAGAUGAAAGGCGUGGCCCUGUUCUUAAAUAACCCCAAGCCACGGGGACACGGACAGGCACACCGUCAGCAUGGGCACGGCCAGGGCUCGGGAUGAGUCAGCACACAGUGCCGGAGGGGGUUGUCAGGAAAGGUGCUGUUUGCUCUGGGUCUUGUGAGCUGACCAGGGGUGUGUUUAGCAGAUGGGAGGCGGGCAAUCGCCCUUCUCAUAGGUCUGUUGUCCAACUGAAGCUGGGACCUAAGCAGAUAUUUGGCUGCUGGUCUUGUGUUUGUUUUCCUGAAGUCAAACAGACAGACCCAGGCACUAGCAAACACUGGCUAGGGGUCACUCUGGUACUUACUUAUAAAUACCUUUGACCACUGACCCAGCACAGAGUUUUUUUUGGUCCACUUUCCAGGAAGAUGUUCAGCAGCCUCACCCUGAGCAAACUGUUAGGAUGCGGGAAGAUGCGGGUCCUGUAAUCUCCUGGGCGAGGACCGGAAGGGAGCGCUGUUAACAAGGCUGUUCACUGCUGGGUGCUGUGCAGCCCGACCAGCUCGGCCUCUGUCAUGCCCAUCAGCUGGCUGUCAAGAGGAAUGAGGACACGUCCAUGGCGGGACUUACCAGGCAGAUCUUUAGAAGCCGGGACUGCCCCCUCUCAUUUUAACCUCAGGCAACUGGAGAAUGCGACAUGACCACUAAGUCUUGUGGAGGCUACGAAAAGCCACUGCUCAGGACGACUGAAGUCAGAUGAGAUGCCUGUGAGGCCAUCUUGGGACCUGCGUCUGAUGAGUUCAGGGGAAGAGCUGGGGUUGCAUUGCAAACCCUCAAGAAAUCCCCGGGAAUGAAGAUCGCUUCUGUGCUGCCCGGUGGAGACCAGGACAGGAUUUCCUCCCCGGCAGCCUACUGUCUCUCUCCGCUCACGGGAAAGCCCGCGCACCUUGAAAGAGAAGAGGAUAAAACACAAAACUGGGGGCGUAGUUCGGUUCUCUCACUAAGAUCGGUAGCAACAGGACCCACUCACUUGGAAGCCCACCACCCUGGGACCGGUCUUCUCCUCUGAGCCUGGCCACAGCUCUCCCUGUGCAACAAGGGGAGGAAGGUGUUUCUGGAAGGCGGGUAAACCGUUUGCUGCCCCCUUCUCCUCGAGGGCCCGUUUCUGCCCCUCCUCACCACCCUCUAACGUUCGGUAAAGGCUGUGGAAACCCCAGUCACUCCAUGUGAUCCUGGUCCUAUAGGAUGUAUAUCUUACUUGUGAGUUAAAAUUUACAAAAUUAAAAGUCAAAAUCUCCUAUUUUAUAGGUGAAGGCUUCGAAACGGACCUGGGCCAAAGAUCCUUCACCUUUCUGUGCCUCAGUCUCUCCUGUGAAAUGAGAGGCUGAAUUAGCUCCCUAUAAAGUCCAACAUUUUACAACUUAUGAAUCAGAGUACGAUACCUGUUAAAGUAGAAUGCCAACACGCGCCAGCUAGCAAAUCCCAUUUUUAAUAUUUAAUAGAAAUUGGCUCAAAACCCUAUCCUUCAUGCAACCCAUGAUUCCUCUACUGUUUCAGGGAAUUGCGGGGGCGGGGCGGGGGGGCAGUGACUUCCAUUUCUCCUGGUGACCCCUGGAUCUGAGCUCCCCCAAUCACUGGGUUCUAGUUUGUGAACCAUCUCACUUCAGGCACAUGCUGAUCCUUUUCUGUGUCGCAUGACCCUUGACCAGACUCAUCCUCAUUCUCUGAAAUUCCACUGGCCCCAACAUGCAAGUAUCAGACAUGAUGGAAGCUUCAAGACAAUGGAAGGAGUUCGCACAUUAGGGACUCAGCAACUUAAAAUACCGGCACCCUCGUCUUCACCUUCUGGGGAGUUUCCCAGUGGUGCGCUCUCUCCACUUGCCCUCACUGUGCCGCUCUGCUGUGCUCACUGGCUUCUUGGCUGCCCCCCGCCACGUCCCCCCACAAAGGCCUGUACCCACGUCUGCAGGUCACUGGCUUCUUCAGGUCCAGACCACACCCCUGGGGCUUCACUUCCCUCAGGCCUUCAGGUGCUUUCCUUCAUAGAAACUUGGGUGCCUGUAUUUCAUCAGAAAGUUCACCCCCCUUUUGGUUUGGGCUCUGAGCUUCCCAGCACCCAAAGCAAAAAAAAAAAGAGAGAUAUUAGUUACAAGGCUCCCUAUACUUACAAAUUCCAGACAAGCCAGCUGUUCGGAUAAGCUGGACUCGUCCUGGCCCUGCACACUCUGCCCCAGUUCACGGUCGUGGGGGCAUUGUGGGGGUCACGCCCACCUGCGGCCUGCGCGGCGUAUGCCCGGCUUAGCUCAGGAGGUCACUGUAGCUUUUCAAGACUGUUUUCAAGUUUGAAACCUGAAGAAAAGCACUAUUGAUUCCUGUACACAAAAAGCAUUUAAUGAGCGUCAGGAACAGUUCCCGGUGCUGGACAGAGGGGAGCACAGGACAAGCAUGGCCCCCGCCCUCCCGGAGCUCACAGCCAAGGUGGGCACAGGAGGCAGGGCAGCCUCAGCACGCUAGUGUGAUGAGAUGGGGAAGCAGAGGAGAAAACAGUCUGGUCUUGAAGGAUCGGCAAAGGCUUCCUGGAGGAAGUGACGCCUAAGGUAAAACUCAAAGGGAAAGUAAGAUUUACCUGUGAAAACGGGAGGGAAGCAAGUUUGGGGCGGAGAGAAGAGCAGGUGGGACGGGCCGGAGGAGAGGGGAACACCACCAGGGUUAGUGCCCACAGCAGGUGCUGCAGUGCCCACCCAGACCCUUCUCCAGGCCGCACACCAGCCCCUACCUGCCCGGAGAGCUGGCUGCUAAGGGCUCACAGCUGCCCCUUCUCAUCUGGAAAGUUACAAGCCAUUACCUCCUCCCGCCCCAUCCCCAGGGGGCAGCCCACACACUGGCUGAUACUGGGUUUCAAAAGGCUGGUGUUCUUGCUGGAAGUGGGGGUGGGGUGGGGGGUACACUUGUACAUGUAGUUUAUGCUCCAAGCUCCUUCUCCCUCGUGGAUGAGGCCAAGGCUAGGUUUCACCCGAGACCACAUCUCGCUCAGCUCCCUCCUCCCUUCGUUAGCGUUUUCCCUGAAGAGCAUCCCCUCAGUUAGUUACAUGUCCCCAAGCCCCUGACCUGCUUCUCAGGAACCGAAGCUAAGACAAUGGCGAAGGGAAAAUUGUUGAGACUGAAUCCUCUCUAUGCACUUGGUUCAAAUUGGAGCCCCAUUCACCAGUACCUACUUAAGUUACUCCCAUUGCCAAUAAACAUUCUUUUUUUUUUUUUUUAAAUAUAUUUUUUAUUGAUUUUUUACAGAGAGGAAGGGAGAGAGAUAG